GAUGAACGCUGGCGGCGUGCCUAAUACAUGCAAGUCGAGCGAACAGACGAGGAGCUUGCUCCUCUGACGUUAGCGGCGGACGGGUGAGUAACACGUGGAUAACCUACCUAUAAGACUGGGAUAACUUCGGGAAACCGGAGCUAAUACCGGAUAAUAUAUUGAACCGCAUGGUUCAAUAGUGAAGGACGGUUUUGCUGUCACUUAUAGAUGGAUCCGCGCCGCAUUAGCUAGUUGGUAAGGUAACGGCUUACCAAGGCGACGAUGCGUAGCCGACCUGAGAGGGUGAUCGGCCACACUGGAACUGAGACACGGUCCAGACUCCUACGGGAGGCAGCAGUAGGGAAUCUUCCGCAAUGGGCGAAAGCCUGACGGAGCAACGCCGCGUGAGUGAUGAAGGUCUUCGGAUCGUAAAACUCUGUUAUUAGGGAAGAACAAAUGUGUAAGUAACUAUGCACGUCUUGACGGUACCUGAUCAGAAAGCCACGGCUAACUACGUG
RNAcentral lists this ribosomal RNA (497 nucleotides) under uncultured bacterium. RNAcentral describes it as "partial 16S ribosomal RNA". It matches the Rfam family "Bacterial small subunit ribosomal RNA", at positions 28 to 507 of the family's 1533-position model. The record is from RNAcentral.